CCAGUCCCUAGAAGCAUUGCAGGUAUAGCUUCUGUGUCAUCUGGGGAGGGGGCAGAGAGGAGUGAGUCUGUGUGUAUGCUCCGUAUCCUUACCUAUGAACAUCUGAAUGAUUAGAAGCCUAACAGC
Molecule: small nucleolar RNA, 126 nt
Organism: Mastomys coucha (southern multimammate mouse)
Lineage: Eukaryota; Metazoa; Chordata; Mammalia; Rodentia; Muridae
Product: small nucleolar RNA SNORA17
Exons: 1
Source: RefSeq, a predicted model, not a curated record